AUGUGAUCCUCACCGGGCCAAACAUGUCGCCUCCUGUGGACCAAACAUCACCCAUGAAACAUCAGAACGUUCACCUGAUGGCAGCAGGGGUUUUUGCUCAGCUACAGGAUGGAUCCCUCCGACGCUGUGGGAGGGGCUUCGAAGGAGGCGGGGCCCUCCUCCUUGGUUACCGGAGCGACGGUGACUGGGCUGGUGGGGGUCGCUGAGGAUGAGACGGGUACCGUUGUAAUGGGGGCGGAGCCUGGGGAGGCCGGGGUGAAGGAGGGGGGCAGCAGCCUGAAGCCGGGACUCUUCGGAGAGUGAGCCGAGGGGGAGAGGACGAGGUUGGCCUGCACAGACAGUGAUGUCACAGUGAUGUCACAGUGAUGUCACAGUGAUGUCACAGUGAUGUCACACCAACAGAGGGCAGCCGGACUCACCUGGAGCUUCUCUAUUAGAGCAGAGUUCCUCUUGGCUUUGGCAGCAGCGUUCUGUGGAGGAGCCGAGCCUUUAAAUCUUCCUGCCAGUUCAGCCACAGAGAGAUGGGACGGAGCCUCCUCCUGAGAAAAGAAACAAACCAACAAGACUGUGGAAAGGUAACUGUCAGUGAUGUGCUACUGAAUCACAAGAAAGCCGCUAAGAGACACAAAACAAUCACAACAGCAUGAAAAUAACCACAAAGAGAUACAAAACGGACACAAAGAGACACAAAACAACUGUAAAGACUACUAAUGAAUACUAACAGACACAAAAACGGCCACAAAGACACGCAAAAUUACCAUAAAAAGACACAAAACAAUCACAAGGAGACACAUACCAACCAUAAAGACACAAAAUGACCACAAAGAAACACUGGAUAACCGUACAACAAAACAAAAACGGCCAUUAAGAUAGACAAACCAACCAUAAAGACACAAAAUGGCCACAAAGAAACACUGGAUAACCGUACAACAAAACAAAAACGGCCAUUAAGAUAGACAAACCAACCAUAAAGACACAAAAUGGCCACAAAGAGGGAUAGAAUGUCCAUACAACAAGACACAAAUGACCAUUAAGAUAGACAGAACAACUAAAAAGAGACAAAACAACCACAAAUGGACACAAAACAACUUUAAAGAGACAUAAAACAACCACAGAGAGACACAAACUGCAACACCAACAAGUUUUUUGUCUGUCUGGACCAGUGGAUUUAUUAGUGUUAGGGUUCAGCCAACAGGUGGUAUCGGUUUGCGGCUGAAAGUCAAACCUCACAUCAGCUGGGUGGAAUCAUUGCAACAUUCAACAGAUUUCAGUGGUAAAUUACUGAUAUUACUUCCACUACUAAUACCAACACUACCCUUCUGCUGUAAUGCCACCAUCUGUCCCCCACCAGCUUUCCAAACUGCCCGUCCAACACCGAUAGUCCAACACAUGAGGACGUACAGGACCCGACAGCUGAAGCCUCUGAAGCUCUGCUGACCCAAAAUGUCCUCAGAAGGUCUACAAAGCACCCUGGUCCUCACAGAGAUAGACGUCCAUCCACACACACACACACACACACACACACACACACAGCUGUUGACGUGGGGUUGAUCCAGCUGAAGGCCUCGCAUCGCUGACAUUCAAAAGAUAAUGAAAUCACACAGUCAGUCUUUCCACAGCCGACCCGCAAACUGAAGGUAGAAAGUGAUGAAGAAACAACCGUUAAACCACUUCCACUUUUUCAAUGUGUGUGUGUACAGAUGCCUCUGUGGGGACCAGUGUGAGAUCUUGAGUCCUCACUUUGACCCUGGGUGUGUUCAACAUUCUGUAUAGUCUGCCAGACAAAGAUUUAGCGUGUCCCCGGACGUAAUGUGUCAAAUGCCAAAAAUAUCAGGAUGUCCGACUACGUCCAGUCUGCAGUUUACCGACCAGCAGACCUUGAAUAGAAGAUCCGUCACAGACUCCAAAAGACAUGUUUAACUGCAGCUAGUAAAGUCACAAAAUGCACUGACAAAUCUGGCAAAGAUACAGAAAUCUUUAACCAAUCUCUACAUUUGUCCAAAAUGAUUAGAAGUUUGUCUAGAACUUGCUAAAAAAAAAAAAUCCUCUUUUCCUGUUCACAAUCUGUCCAAAAUGAGUUAAACAUAUAGGAUGGCUUAGAAGGGUUCCAAAAAUGACAAAGCAAUGAAAACGCAUCCAAAAUGACUCACAUUUCACCUCAUAAAAUAAGUGUUCUCUAAAUGUUGUCAAAAUUGGUCAAAAAUGACCCAAAAUUUGUGCAAAAUUACUAAAAAUUCCACAAAUUAGUCCAGAACUUUCUCAAAAAAAAUCUUCCCUAACUGUUCAAAACCUGUCAGAAAUGAGUUAAUUCUCUUGGAUGGCUGGGAAGAGCUAAAAAAAAAUCACAAAUGGGUCCAAAAUGACUUUAAAAUGUCUUCAAACUAUUAAAAUUUUCUUUAAAACAUAGGAAUUAUUCAUAGUUACAGUUUUAUCAAUAUUGGUGGUCCUCAGCGGAGGGUCUGUAGUGGGAUCACAAACGUGAUCGUCAGCAGCCAGCUGACGUUUUGCUCGCUUGUUGUCAUGGUUAGUGACACCGUACAGAAAUCUUUAACAAAUCCGUGGAUCCAGACUUUAAGCCACAUGACUGCCAAAAUCUAAUCAUUUGGUCCUUGUGUCAUUUCUGACCUUCCCUGAAAGUUUCAUCCAAAUCCGUUAGUUUGUUUUUGAGUAAAGUUGCUAACGGAUGGAAGAUUCACAAAUGCCGAUCAUCACAUAACUUCACCAUGUUCCUUGGCAGAGCAAUCAUUUCUAAGCAAACAGGCCAAAGCUGUAAAAGUCCCUAUCAAAAUCUAUUUUUCCAUCAUCAUGGUUUAUCUGAUUAAAAAUUUUAACACAAUUCACACAUCUGCAGCACAGAAUGACUAAAAAUCCCUGAAACCUCUAUGGCAACACAUUUCAGGCAGUUUAUCCAAGUAGACUUACGUCACACAAAUGGGCAGUUGAUCCGGUAAUGGCAGAACCAACCAACUCUAAAUGGAAGACGGUAAACAGUAGGGCCCGAUUGAUUUAUCGGCCAGCUGAUUAAAUCAGUUGUUUAUAGCUCUUUUCAAAAUAAUUGUCAUCGCUGGAGUUAACCCAAUUAAACACUGAUAUGUUCUUAAUUUGUGCACUUUGUAAUGUCCUUUUAUUGUGAUGUAUUGAUCUUUUAUUGAUGUAUUAACCUUUUGUUGUGACCUGCUGGCCUUUUAUUGUGACCUAUUGUCUUUUUAAUAUGACCUAUUGUCUUAUGUUUUAUUUUGUUUCACAGUUAUGUUUUCUUUGUGUACUUUUUGGAGUGUGCUUUUGUGAUUUAUUGUCUUUCUGUAUCACCGUCUUUUUUUUUCUUUUUACCUAGCAUGUAAAUUAGCAUUGUUGCUAUAAUCUGACAUAUUUAUACCCAUUGCUGUAUAAAUGGAUAAAGAAAUAAAUAAAAUACAUUUUUCUCAAGGAAUAGCAUGUAAUGUCAGUUAUUUAUUGUUCUUUGCCUAAUAUUUGUUCGUUGAAUAUGGUGGUGCGUACAUAUUUUUGCAUAAUUUAAUGUUUGCAAGUCAAAUUAUGUGUUUUUUUUUUUUAAAAGCCCAAUAGUUUAUAUUACAUUUUCAGAGAUUAUAUAAGAUUGUCAAGAUGGUUCAAAUAUAGAAAUAAUUCUGUUCUAUUAAUGAUAUUUUUAACCGUUUAAAGUUCUACUUCCUGUUUACCGUCUGUAACCUCACGGACAGGAAGCGACCUUGUGGAGUAGAAUGCGGGAAGAGACAAAUUGGCGGACAGCCGGGUGUAAUUGUUGGAAAGCAAUGGACUUUAAUGUUUUUACAUCUUAUCGGAAUCAGUUUUUGUUGUUGUUGAGGACUGCUUAAGAACUGUUCGGUCUCGCUGCCACUGAGUGUUGUCUUCGGUUCCAGAGGAGUGUUUUGUUACUGUGCGGAGUGAGCUAGCCACGUUAGCUUAGCUCACCGGAGCUGCGUGGAGGGAUGACCUUUUGGAUCUUCAACAACGCAAUGAGAGCGGAGGGCUGCAGGACCGACACAGAGGCUGCCGAGGACGGUCUGCUGUCUGCAGGAGUGGUUGUUGUGCCUACGGAGGGAGACCAGUCUGCGGACAGGAAGUCUACAGGUGUGGUAUGAGUUACUGUAAACUAUAAAGCAUUCUAUUCGUCAAUGAGCUCCAACGAACCUUAAACUAUGCUGAAUACUGGAAGCUAAAGAGAGAGGGCACUCAGGUUAAGACAGAAUAAAUAUUGAUUAAUCCCGGGUCUAUUUUAUUUUUAUGUGUUUAUUAUUUUUCAUUGAACCGGUUUGUUUGUGCCUUGUUGCUUAAUACAAAGUGGGAUUUUCUUCUUUGAGUCUGUAAUAUUUCUGUUUUCUGCUGUGCAUGCUCAUUGGGUUGUGUGUUCAUAUUGUUAUUCUAUGGUAUAUCCUGGUAAUUUCAAAAUUCAGUAUAUUUUUUAAUAAGUGAAGCUCAUAUGUUCCCUUAAGGCCUCUGCACGCUGCGAUUUUCGGCUGUCCCAGAGGACAGAUAACAAUUGUGGUGAUCUCUGGUCUUGACUCUAAAUCGGUGGUCCUACAUCACACUGUGAGACAGGUUCAAGGAUGGCCGUUGUCAUGGUGAUCAAAGACAAGUUGCCAUAAAAUUCUGACUAUCAGAAGUUCUGGGUGAUCGUCUCACAGUGUGACUGUUGCUAGACCUUCUACAACUAACCAACCGUAGAAAUGCAAGAUGAAAUGACGUACUGAUCAGUGCUACAAUGGAGCUAAAACCCAAAUAGAUGAUUUGCAGAGACAAAACAAGUAUGUGGGAUUUAAACAGAGAAGACAGCCUAGUAGAGUUGUGGCAGCAGAAGUCUUUUGCACGUGUCCUCCACCUUGUUAAACCAGAGCAUGGAAGGAUAUAGCGGCAGAAUUAUAGCUUCCAGGUUAGCGGCUAGCAAACGCACACAGACACCACUGUAAAUGGUGUAAAUGGCAGAAAAAACAAAACUUUAAUUCAGUAAUGUUUGGCUCAUUUCCCUGUGAUUGUAGGAGCUACAUUUAUGCAUCGGUUGUUUUUUCAUUGAUGGAUGGAGCAUGCUUAUUGCGCUUUCACGUCUCUUUAACGUGAAUGUUUAUGAUUGCAUCGUCAUGUGAAAAGAAAUCAAACAGCCACUGUUUACUCCUCUGACUGUUUUUUUUUUUUAUCCAAACGUGCUCAUGUGAAGUGAGCAGCAGCAGUAGAAAGAAGAACAAAAAAAUACUUUUGUCCAACUGAAAUAGAUGUGAUAGUUGUCUACAUAGAAAUCAAUAUUGAAAUUUGGUUUUCAUCACACUAAGGCAAUUAAUAAAAGGAGAAAAACAGUAGGCUGAAGAUUGAGCCCUGGGGGACGCCAUGAGUGGUUAGUUGAGCUGCAUUCAUCCAAAAAUAAGAAUGAAACCGAUGUAAAAUCAAACCUGAGAGUCGUAGUAAAAUCUAAAAAUGACAAAACAAAUGUUUGAACUAUUUCUCCCAAUACGUCAGCCAGGAAGGGAAGAUAAGAUAUUGGACAGAUGGUAAUUUCUCUGAGAACUGUAGCUGAUUUCAAAUAUUCGGGAACUUAAAUGUUUAGCGUAUGUGAUCUAUGUACAAACGGAGCCAUAAUUCACGGACUAAACGAGCUGACGACACCACAAACUCCACAAUGACAGCGUCGAUGAAAUCUGAUGCAUAC
This is a long non-coding RNA of Acanthochromis polyacanthus (spiny chromis), 5656 nucleotides long. RefSeq lists it as uncharacterized. NCBI's taxonomy places the organism in Eukaryota, Metazoa, Chordata, Actinopteri, Pomacentridae. The record is from RefSeq and is a predicted model, not a curated record. The transcript has 3 exons.